GAUGAACGCUCGCGGCAGGCCUAAUACAUGCAAGUCGAACGAGAUUAAGAGGCUUGCUUCUUAUGAAAGUGGCGCACGGGUGCGUAACGCGUAUGCAACCUACCCUAAUCAGGGGGAUAGCCCGAAUAAAUUCGGAUUAAGACCGCAUAUAAACACAGGAUAGCAUUAUCCAAUGUUCAAAUAUUUAUAGGAUUAAGAUGGGCAUGCGUGUCAUUAGCUAGUUGGCGGGGUAACGGCCCACCAAGGCGACGAUGACUAGGGGAUCUGAGAGGAUGACCCCCCACACUGGUACUGAGACACGGACCAGACUCCUACGGGAGGCAGCAGUAAGGAAUAUUGGUCAAUGGAGGGAACUCUGAACCAGCCAUGCCGCGUGCAGGAAGACAGCCCUCUGGGUAGUAAACUGCUUUUAUUCGGGAAUAAACCUUUCUACGUGUAGGAAGCUGAAUGUACCGAAGGAAUAAGGAUCGGCUAACUCCGUG
RNAcentral lists this ribosomal RNA (482 nucleotides) under uncultured bacterium. RNAcentral describes it as "partial 16S ribosomal RNA". It matches the Rfam family "Bacterial small subunit ribosomal RNA", at positions 28 to 507 of the family's 1533-position model. The record is from RNAcentral.